Drosophila rhopaloa is the source of this 3788-nucleotide RNA transcript. It is a transcript of the gene named protein starmaker, with no coding region annotated. Lineage: Eukaryota; Metazoa; Arthropoda; Insecta; Diptera; Drosophilidae. The record is from RefSeq and is a predicted model, not a curated record. The transcript has 4 exons.
UUUAACAACAGGGCUGCGAAUUGAUCGUCCUCACGAACGCCUCACGAGCCAUUCCAAGGCCCAACUCACGACGCACGCCCACCUCUAGCGUAAACAUAUGUACAUUUCUGUGUAAACGCAUGUAAAGCAAUCGCAACGUUUAUCCUGGAUUUCCACGGCACUCACGGGUGUCGCGGCAACGAAAACCACACGAAUCCCACGGGCAACGCACCAUGGACGACUUUAUAAAGACGCUAAUUGCCGAGGUCAAGUCGCAGGGCGUCUUCGAUGAAUUCCGCUUUAAUUGCUGCCUGGCGGACGUGGACACGAAGCCUGCUUACCAGAAUGUGCGCACCCGGGUGGAGACGGCGGUCAAUGAUUUCCUGGCCAAGCAGCACUGGACGCCAGAGACCAACAAGGUCCAGCUGCGAGAGAGGCUGCGCAAGCACCUCCUUGACACCGACGUCCUGAACAAAGGAGUGGACCAAAUCGUGGACCAAGUGGUCAACCCCAAGGUUGCCACCAUAUUCGAGCCAAAGAUCGAGAGCAUCGUCUACAAGUACCUGGGCAUCACACCCCCGCCGCCGCCGCCAGCGAGAUCCACCCUGCUGCCGGCUCCGCCUUUGCCGCCAUUUGCUGGCCACAUGAACGGCAGCAGCCUGCUCAACGUGGAGACCACCGCCGGCCUCCUGCCCACCGACCUGGAGCAGAUCAGUCCGGACUCAGACCGGGGCACCGUCAAGUCGGAGGCGAAGGAUGACGAACUGCCGCCCGGCGUGGACGAAGAGGACACAUCGCCAUCGUACGAGCCUCUCAGCGAAGAAAAACAACUUGCCAGCAAGGAGGAUUUAAACAACGGGUCGCUGAACAACUCUGAUUCGAUCAACGGCGUUUCGCAGGCGUCGCAGCUCUCGCAGGUUUCCAGCGACAGUCGCCUGACCAUCGCCUCCUCCACGGAAUCAGUGGGCGAUGCCCAGCAGGCAACGGCAGCCCACAACAGCGGGGAUCCAGCCAACAUUUCCGAGGAGGCCCAGAUGCCAAAGUUCAACGAAAACUCCAGUGAUACGAGUGCUGGAGCAGGGGACAACGGCAGUCGCCAACUGCACUUCGAUAUUAAGCAGGAUGCCAUUACCUUCGAAGGUACUGAGCGGAAGAACUCUGUGUCGAAGGACACAAACGGUGGCCCACAGAUUCUAUCUAUUGAAGAUGCCAUUAUGUCGGAGGUUAAGGCCAACAUAGACGAUGCUAAUAAUGCCAGCAUUGAGUCUAUAGUUGAACCGGAAUUAAUAAUACCGCCAACUCCAGCUCUGCCGACAGUUGAGCCUCCUCCUCCUCCGGCCCCACCAAAAAUUGAGCCUCCUCCUCCUCCAGCCCCACCAAAAGUUGAGCCUCCUCCUGCGCCCCAACCACCAGCACCACCUAAAGAUGAUCCACCUUCUCCGCCAGCGCCACCAAAAGUUGAACUUCCUCCAACGCCACAACCGGCAGAGAGCAGUAAUGGAUUCUUUUCGGAGGCACCCAAGGAUGUUGGGAAUACAAAUACAAAUGUACAGUCCGAUGCGGUGGAUGCGGAGGUAUUCGUAAACAAAGAAGCCAAAUCCACAACGACAGCCGAAAUCAAGGAUGAUAAACCUCUAAUUCUCGCCCCGCCAGAAGAUGUGGAAACGUCUAAGGAACCGAGUAAACCCAUGGCAUCGCCCAUUUCUGUAUUGUCGCAAUCCAAGAGCCAUUCAAAGUCCAAGGACAGAGAGAGGGAGCGCCGACAUCGCAGCCACUCAGAUGAUAAGCAGCGCCGCAAGAGCAGCGACCGGGAUCGUGAUCGUGACCGUGAGCGUAGUCGGGAUAAAUCUCACAACAAACAUUCCUCGAGUUCCAGCUCGAAGCACUCCUCAUCGCACUCCUCAAGCUCGAAACAUAGAAGCAGUAGCUCCAGGAACGACAAAAGCUCAAGCUCAUCUAGCCGAAGCAAUCGCGAUUCGUCCUCAUCAAAACACUCGGCCACUUCAUCUUCAUCUCGCCACGAGUCCUCGUCACACAAAAAACACAAGUCCAGUUCAUCUUCAUCACGAUCGGAUCGGGACAAAGACAAGGAUAAGGGAAGGGACAAGGACAAGGACAAGGAAAAGGAGAGCCAAAGACGCAGCCACCACAGCAGCAGCAGCUCCUCAUCGUCGUCUAAAAAAAAGGAACACGAUAGAGGACGCGAUCGUGACCGCAACAAAUCAAACUCAUCCGGCAGUGGGAAGACUAAAGCGAUCCAGGAUGAUCACAACGAGAGCAAGUCGAAACUUAAUCAGCGACGGAACUCCGACUCAAAUGAUGAGGGCAAGCCGCCAAGCUCUGGUGGUCCGGCAAAGAUAUCCCAGUCCGAGAUUGCGCAAGUUCCGGAAAAAGCUGAAGCGCCGGUAGAGAAUGGCAGCAACACGAAUGGAAACUCCAAUGGUGGCAGCAAUGGUGAGUGCGACAGUGCUGCCAGUUCAAGCGGUGUUGUUAUUGUCAGCGACAUCCUCCAGCAAUCGUCGACCAGUUUCAUUGAACUGACUGCUGGUUCCCAGUCACAAAGGCAAGUGGAGACCAGUAAAGAUGUGCCCGAGGAUAUUGACGGAAAAAAAAACAAAAGUCAGUCAGAGAAACCAGAAUCGGAGCCAGAUUCACCCGAUGAAGAACCAAAUGUAGAACCUCAAAUAGCUGACAAAGCUGAAUCCGUACCUGAUUCCCCUGUCGAGGAAAACAAAGAAGACGAUGGGUUGAAAAUGGCAUCAAUGGAGAAACCACAUGCUGAGAAGAGCAUACCGGAGGCACCUUCUAAAUCUGAACAAACCCUAGAGCCUGCUGACCCCAGCCAACUUGAGGAUAUAACGAAAGAUGCCGAGAAGCUCGCCCCAGAAAUUCCAAAAUCAAGUGAACAAAGUGAUAAAUUAGUCGGCGACUUUGUAACCCACUUUGAGGAAAAUACAGACGAGUUUAAGGCGCGCCUCCAGCUCAUAAAUCAAUUGAUCGAGGAUCGUAAUAAUUUGCUCAACAGGCUGAGCGCGGACGGUUCACAGGACGAGGUAGUUGAUGUACGUGCUCUGCGAAGGAGUAUUUCCAAGCGAAGGCGGAGCAGCUUACAAGAGCAGCAGCAAGCGGUGCGGGAGUCCACACCGACGCGGCAUUGUAGUCCGAGCAGCAGCACCUCCGGCAGUCCGGCGAAGAGGCUCAGGCGGGAUGAACCUAAAGCGUCGCCCACGCCAUCCGACGCCAGUAUAAACUCCAAGGAAAACGAGGCUUUGGAGAAGCAGGAGCAUGGUGCGUACUGUAUCAUAGCAAGUUAUCAAUUGGUCUGACAAUCUGGUGAACCUGUGUUCCAAGUAUCGCUUUAUUGUUAACGCUUUUAUUAGGAUGGAUCGAUAAUAUCUUAAGAAUCGUAGGAUGCGGAAGAUAUUUUCAGAAAGAACAAACAUUUUUGUUUGCUUUUUAAAUCUAAUCUAUUUUUUUUUAUGAAAUCAGGUAAUCUAAAAUCCUUAAUAAAGCAAAUUGAUCUCCAUAUAUAUAUCUAAUUCCGCUUCUACGAUAUUUCACAAUACUAAAGUCAGCCCCAAUCGAUCCACCCUUCGUACUACAUAUCUCAUGCUCAUCCUUAUCGUUAUUUCUACCACCUCUAUUUUCUCCUCCACAUGCAUCCACAUAAUUUGUAAAUUAAUAUAGCUGUAUGAAGCCUCCAUUAGUCCUAUCCAAAUCUAUGUGCUGGACGCCCUGUCAGCCAGGCGACUCAGCAAGAAGCUUUGCCAGCAGCAGCGGUACACCAACGAUGAUCUCUACAAGCCCCG